UACGGGGGGGGCAAGCGUUGUUCGGAAUUACUGGGCGUAAAGGGCUCGUAGGCGGCCAACUAAGUCAGACGUGAAAUCCCUCGGCUUAACCGGGGAACUGCGUCUGAUACUGGAUGGCUUGAGUUCGGGAGAGGGAUGCGGAAUUCCAGGUGUAGCGGUGAAAUGCGUAGAUAUCUGGAGGAACACCGGUGGCGAAGGCGGCAUCCUGGACCGACAUUGACGCUGAGGCGCGAAAGCCAGGGGAGCAAACGGG
Molecule: ribosomal RNA, 253 nt
Filed under: uncultured bacterium
Lineage: Bacteria
Description: partial 16S ribosomal RNA
Rfam family: Bacterial small subunit ribosomal RNA
Source: RNAcentral